RNAcentral lists this ribosomal RNA (515 nucleotides) under uncultured bacterium. RNAcentral describes it as "partial 16S ribosomal RNA". It matches the Rfam family "Bacterial small subunit ribosomal RNA", at positions 28 to 523 of the family's 1533-position model. The record is from RNAcentral.
GAUGAACGCUGGCGGCGUGCCUAAUACAUGCAAGUCGAGCGAAUGGAUUAAGAGCUUGCUCUUAUGAAGUUAGCGGCGGACGGGUGAGUAACACGUGGGUAACCUGCCCAUAAGACUGGGAUAACUCCGGGAAACCGGGGCUAAUACCGGAUAACAUUCUGAACCGCAUGGUUCGAAAUUGAAAGGCGGCUUCGGCUGUCACUUAUGGAUGGACCCGCGUCGCAUUAGCUAGUUGGUGAGGUAACGGCUCACCAAGGCAACGAUGCGUAGCCGGCCUGAGAGGGUGAUCGGCCACACUGGGACUGAGACACGGCCCAGACUCCUACGGGAGGCAGCAGUAGGGAAUCUUCCGCAAUGGACGAAAGUCUGACGGAGCAACGCCGCGUGAGUGAUGAAGGCUUUCGGGUCGUAAAACUCUGUUGUUAGGGAAGAACGAGUGCUAGUUGAAUAAGCUGGCACCUUGACGGUACCUAACCAGAAAGCCACGGCUAACUACGUGCCAGCAGCCGCAGUAA